This 75-nucleotide transfer RNA is filed under the name Candidatus Parcubacteria bacterium. RNAcentral describes it as "tRNA-Glu". It matches the Rfam family "tRNA". From Rfam's summary of the family: Transfer RNA (tRNA) molecules are approximately 80 nucleotides in length. Their secondary structure includes four short double-helical elements and three loops (D, anti-codon, and T loops). Lineage: Bacteria; Candidatus Parcubacteria. The record is from RNAcentral.
GGCGCUAUCGUCUAGUGGCUAGGACGACGGGCUUUCAAUCCGUCAACACGGGUUCGAUUCCCGUUAGCGCCGCCC